This 79-nucleotide small RNA is filed under the name Haemophilus influenzae. RNAcentral describes it as "isrK". The record is from RNAcentral. Lineage: Bacteria; Pseudomonadati; Pseudomonadota; Gammaproteobacteria; Pasteurellales; Pasteurellaceae.
ACUUUCAACAGAAAGUCGGGAUUAGCCUCCUGAAUGUUACGAGCGGUUAGAAAUAGAUAGACGCUCAAGCGUCUUUUUU